CUCUAUGCCUGGAUCUUGCCAGAACUUUUGGGAUGGAGGCCUGAACUUUGGUCAUGAGAAGUGGGGAGAAGACCCUUUCACACUGUCCCUUACCGAGGGAGACCAACAAAUGACAGUAGAGUAUUCAUAGAAUGCCUCAUCCACCCCCACUCAGGGACAACCUCCUGGGAACUAAAACCCCUUUGAUGCAUCGUAACGAGCAGGUGUCAAAGGCCAUGAUUUACAACAUGGAAACUGAAGAGAAGAGCUGUCCUGAAUAUGUCCAAGACCACACAACCAUGAUAAGAAACCCCGUGUUCCUCCCCCGGCGCCAGGGCACGAUUGUGAAUGUCCAUCUCCACCCUACUUGGCGGCGGGGAGGAGGGGGGUACUUAACAAAAUUUUGCAUCGAGGUUUCUGUUCAACUAAAGGCAAGGCUGAAAAGUCACCCCAUGGAAUGAAUGCCCGGCUUCCCAUGGGUUCUGGCACCUCGGAGCCAUCACCUACUUCCCACCAACCAGCAGAAAGACCCGAAGAUCAUCAGGACUCAUUUGAGACCCAUGUGGAAAAUGGGCUGCCAUGGUCUCGGUAAUGUCUUGCUUAAUGGUAUUCAUCUAAUAACUGUGGGUUUGGGAAACUGGAUCUUCUCAGUGAUAUAAAGCUGUGCU
This is a long non-coding RNA of Mustela erminea (ermine), 647 nucleotides long. RefSeq lists it as uncharacterized. NCBI's taxonomy places the organism in Eukaryota, Metazoa, Chordata, Mammalia, Carnivora, Mustelidae. The transcript has 5 exons. The record is from RefSeq and is a predicted model, not a curated record.